GGAAAGUUGUUCAUUGGUAGAACAAUUGCCUAGUGUGCACAAGGCCAUGGGUUCAAUUCCCAGCAUCA
RNAcentral lists this transfer RNA (68 nucleotides) under Marmota monax (woodchuck). Its description in RNAcentral is "tRNA.Thr". The record is from RNAcentral. Lineage: Eukaryota; Metazoa; Chordata; Mammalia; Rodentia; Sciuridae.